CCGGGGCUCGGCGCUCCGGCUCCCAGGCGGCUGGCGGCGCGGGGCGCGGGAGCGCGGAGGAGCAGCGACUCUCUGCAGCGGCAGUGGCGACACGGUGGUGGCGGUGGCGCCGGAAACGCCCGCCGGCAGGAGAGCUCCGCCGCUGGCUCCCCCUGCUCUGCUCUGCCGCCCGCCCUUCCAAGGACCGACCUGCUGCCUGGGCCGGAAACUGACCAGCUCCCCCGGCUCCCCGGGUUCCCCGGCUCCGGCUCAGACCCACCAGAGCCUCCGCACCCUGCUCCUCCCUGCGCGGCGCGCCGCCGUCCCCCACGCCGCGUGCCAGCUGCACCCUCCAAACCCCUGCCCCAGUCCCCCGGGCCACCGUGUCCCAGAGGCCUGGAAGGCUCAGCUGAGGCCCGAGGGCGUGGAGUCCCGGGAGCCCGAGCCAGCCCGAGGCGUGGGGAAGGGGCGUUAGGAAGCCCGGACGUGGGAGUCUGGGGAAGGGGCUCCACCCUCCGCGGGCGGGGGCGUUCUUGAGCCCGGGAGCCGCAGACGGGCAGAGCUUCUUCCCGAAGCCGCGAGGGAAGAAGGACCCCUCCAUCGCCAGCCCCCAGCGUCCCCGUGCAGCCUGCUGGCCUGGGUCUACCCCUCGCACGCAGACGUGUGUGCACUGCACGCGGGGCUCGAGAACUUUCCCCGCAAGCCCGGGGCGCCCUCACCCCACGCUCGCCCCACGUCGCAGCCUUUCGCGACUCCCUUUGCGAGCUGGUCAACCCUCCCCGGCGCGGGAAGAGGGCCGCGGGGCCGGACGCCCUGACCGCCUCCUGCGAGGCCGGCGAACAUGUCCGGAUUGCGCCGAGGGUGGAGGCGAGAGCUCGCGCUCCACCCCGGUGGAGCCGCCCCGAGACCACCCGGGCCGGGGCUCCGCUCCAUUCUGCGCGACCCGAGCGCGACGGCGGGCUGGGCUCCGAGCUGCUCUCCCCAGGCAGCUGACAGCUCCCCGCUGCCGAGCCCCCAGCCGGGAAGGGGGCGACUGAUCCAUCUGUCGAUGGGCCGGGCCCACCGGCGUGCUUUAGUCACGGAAUUCACAGUAAACGCCCAGAAACACCAAAAAGGAAGCUUCUCACUGGGAAACGACUGAAGGAGAGGUACUGUGUCCUCCAGACUGCCUGCAAGGGCCCGUCCACGGCUCCUGAGCCCACCAGCAGAGGAGACUCCAGCCCACCAAAGACGCCCCCUCCUCAGCACAGAUCCAGGAGGUGGAAGAUGGGGUUCCCUUGCCCUGGAGAUAAAAACCAACCAGAAUUCAAAGAAAAAGACAGGGCCAGCUAAGACAUGUUGAGAACCACAGGCUAGCAAGCAGAGGUGCUCUCAGCCAUGGGACAGCAGCUGGCCAGGGGCCUCCCACUAUCAAUCAGCACAAACCUAUUGGAACCCUUCUUUGGGCCCAACACAGUGCCGAGAGCCAUGGGGAAGACGGCCCUGGGCAGGACCGCCCCUGCCAUGGAAUCAUCUGCAGAUGGAGUUAGCCAUACCCGUGAGAAGUGUGGCAACGCACAAGGGCCAAGGGAGAGAAAGGAAAUAGGACUGCCCGACUUCAGGACUUGCAGGGAGGUAGGAUCUAAGCUGGACCUGGGAAGAUGGGUUGAAUUUGGCUAAAAAGGGCACUGGGGAAGGGGGCAGAGAGUAGGCAAAAGCACAGUGGUAAGAAAACUUGGAGAAACAGCCCACGAGUUGGAAGGAGGGUACCAGGAGCACAGGAGGGAGUGGCCAGUGGGAGGAGAUCCAAAGGCAUGAUUGGGAGGCACAGUGGAGGCCCAAGUAUUGAAGGCUCGGACUUGCUUCCCUGGGAGCUACUGAAGGUUUCGGAGCAGGUGAGUGAUAUAACAGGAGUGGAGCUUUCGUAAGAUUGCUCUGACACCUCUGUGAAGGAUGGAAACAAGAUAAGUCAGGAGGCAAUGUUAACAGUCUUGGCCCGAGGUCAUGAGGGCCCAAAGCAGGAAGAGGCGGUAGUGAGUAGAGGCAGGAAGAGUGUUGGGCAUGGAGAGCUGGUGGCAGGUAUGGACAGGAAGAGGGGGGUGGGCAUGGAGAGCAGGUGGCAGGUAUGGACAGGAAGAGGGGGUGGGCAUGGACAGGAAGUAGUCAUUGUCAGAGGCAUUUAAAGAGGAGUCGGAAAGAUGUUGGUGAUGGAAUCAACACAGGGCACAGGAAGGAGGAAAAUGCCUUUUACUCAGAUAGUAGCCAGGCCAGGGAAAGUAACCAGCCCUGACUUCUCAGGCUUUGUCCUUAGAAAGAAUAAUUGAAGAAGCCAAUUGUAUGGUAAGAUACAUAUUGAUAGUCCUUUAAUUCUUAACAAUAAUUCUAUGCAGUAGGUACUGUAAAUCACUCUUUACAAAUGAGAAAACUGAGGCCGGAACAUCGUAUUUUAAGUGACAGAACCAGGAUUUGGACUCUGAAAGCUGGGAUGCAGGGUAACUCUGUAACCUCUGUGCCCAAAAUAAAUAAGCACUAUGACAGCUCCCCAGGCUGAACAUUUUCCUGUCCUGAUUCAGAACGUCUUAAAUACUCCAUUUCUCCAUCCAGCAACAGUGUGAAGCACUCAUGAGAAUGAAAUUUCUCUUGCACCUUUCCUACGGGUUUUAUCUGGCUAAUCCUUGGAAUCCAAGUCUAGAGCCUAGAAAGGAUCCUGUCUAGCCCGGUG
Manis javanica (Malayan pangolin) is the source of this 2680-nucleotide non-coding RNA. The record is from RefSeq and is a predicted model, not a curated record. Lineage: Eukaryota; Metazoa; Chordata; Mammalia; Pholidota; Manidae.